Molecule: Y RNA, 102 nt
Filed under: Macaca nemestrina (pig-tailed macaque)
Lineage: Eukaryota; Metazoa; Chordata; Mammalia; Primates; Cercopithecidae
Description: Y RNA (ENSMNEG00000006887.1)
Rfam family: Y RNA
About the family: Y RNAs are components of the Ro ribonucleoprotein particle (Ro RNP), in association with Ro60 and La proteins. The Y RNAs and Ro60 and La proteins are well conserved, but the function of the Ro RNP is not known. In humans the RNA component can be one of four small RNAs -- hY1, hY3, hY4 and hY5.
Source: Rfam by way of RNAcentral
GCCUGGUCCGAGUGCAGUGGUGUUUACAACUACUUGAUCACAACCCAUUGUAGGUUUCUUUGUUCCUUCUCCACUCCCACUGCUUCACUUGACUAGCCUUAA